RNAcentral lists this unclassified non-coding RNA (328 nucleotides) under soil metagenome. Its description in RNAcentral is "partial contains 5.8S ribosomal RNA, internal transcribed spacer 2, and large subunit ribosomal RNA". The stretch from base 1 to 120 matches the Rfam family "5.8S ribosomal RNA", at positions 35 to 154 of the family's 154-position model. The record is from RNAcentral.
GAUGAAGAACGUAGUGAAAUGCGAUAAGUAAUGUGAAUUGCAGAAUUCAGUGAAUCAUCGAAUCUUUGAACGCACAUUGCGCCCCUUGGUAUUCCGAGGGGCAUGCCUGUUCGAGCGUCAUUAUAACCCUCAAGCUCAGCUUGGUGUUGGGGCCUGCUGCACUGGCAGCCCUUAAAAUCAGUGGCGGCGCCAUCUGGCUCUAAGCGUAGUAAUUCUUCUCGCUAUGGAGUCCUGGUGGAUGCUUGCCAUCAACCCCCAAUUUUUCUAUGGUUGACCUCGGAUCAGGUAGGGAUACCCGCUGACCUUAAGCAUAUCAAUAAGCGGAGGA